GAGUUUGAUCAUGGCUCAGGAUGAACGCUGGCGGCGUGCUUAACACAUGCAAGUCAAACAAACCUUCGGGUUAGUGGCGGACGGGUGAGUAACGCGUGGGAAUCUGCCCUCAGGAGGGGGAUAACGGUUGGAAACGACCGCUAAUACCCCAUAUGCCGAGAGGUGAAAUGAAUUUCGCCUGAGGAUGAGCCCGCGUCUGAUUAGCUUGUUGGUGAGGUAAAGGCUCACCAAGGCAUCGAUCAGUAGCUGGUCUGAGAGGAUGAUCAGCCACACUGGGACUGAGACACGGCCCAGACUCCUACGGGAGGCAGCAGUGGGGAAUUUUCCGCAAUGGGCGAAAGCCUGACGGAACAACGCCGCGUGAGGGACGAAGGCCUCUGGGUUGUAAACCUCUUUUCUCGAGGAAGAAGAUAUGACGGUACUUGAGGAAUAAGCCACGGCUAAUUCCGUGCCAGCAGCCGCGGUAAUACGGGAGUGGCAAGCGUUUUCCGGAAUUUUUGGGCGUAAAGCGUCCGCAGGCGGCCCUUCAAGUAUGUUGGUAAAGCGUGGAGCUUAACUCCAUCAAAGCAAUGGAAACUGAUUGGCUUGAGUAUGGUAGGGGCAGAGGGAAUUCCCGGUGUAGCGGUGAAAUGCGUAAAUAUCGAGAAGAACACCAGUGGGGAAGGCGCUUUGCUGGGCCAUUACUGACGCUCAUGGAACGAAAGCCAGGGGAGCGAAAGGGAUUAGAUACCCCUGUAGUCCUGGCCGUAAACGAUGAACAUUAGGUGUCGGGGGGAAUCGACCCCCUUCGUGUGUCCUAUCUAACGCGUUUAAGUGUUCCGCCGGGGAGUACGCACGCAAGUGUGAAAAUCAAAGGAAUUGACGGGGGCCCGCACAAGCAAGGAAGAAUGUGGUUAAUUAGAUGCAACGCGAAGGACAUUUCCAGGGCUUGACAUCCUGCGAACCUUUAAGAAAAUAAAUGGUGCCUUCGGGAACGCAGUGACAGGUGGUGCAUGGCUGUCGUCAGCUCGUGUCGUGAGAUGUUGGGUUAAGUCCCGCAACGAGCGCAACCCACGUUUUUAUUUGCCAGCAUUUAGUUGGGCAGUAUAGAAAGACCGCCGGUGGUAAACCGGAGGAAGGUGUGGAUGACGUCAAGUCAUCAUGCCCCUUACGUAACUGGGCUACACACGUAUUACAAUGCUAAGGACAAAGGGCAGCAAACUCGCGAGAGCUAGCAAAUCCCAUAAACCGUGGGUCAGUUCAGAUCGUAGGGUGCAAAUCGCCUACGUGAAGUAGGAAUAGCUAGUAAUUGCAGGUCAGCAUAAUGCGGUGAAUAUGUUUCCGGGCCUUUUACACACCGCCCGUCACACCAUGGAAGUUGGCCACGCCCGAAGUAGUUUCUUUUACCCCUGUGGAGAAGGACGCCGAGGGUGGGGCUGAUGACUGGGGGGAAGUUGUAAAAAGGUAUCC
RNAcentral lists this ribosomal RNA (1449 nucleotides) under uncultured marine cyanobacterium. RNAcentral describes it as "bacterial SSU rRNA". It matches the Rfam family "Bacterial small subunit ribosomal RNA". The record is from RNAcentral. Lineage: Bacteria; Bacillati; Cyanobacteriota.